AGAGUUUGAUCCUGGCUCAGAUUGAACGCUGGCGGCGUGCCUAACACAUGCAAGUCGAGCGGUAACAGGUGUAGCAAUACAUGCUGACGAGCGGCGGACGGGUGAGUAACGCUUGGGAAUCUGCCUAUUAGUGGGGGACAACCCGGGGAAACUCGGGCUAAUACCGCAUACGCACUACGGUGGAAAGCCGGGGACCGCAA
RNAcentral lists this ribosomal RNA (200 nucleotides) under uncultured bacterium. Its description in RNAcentral is "partial 16S ribosomal RNA". It matches the Rfam family "Bacterial small subunit ribosomal RNA", at positions 8 to 210 of the family's 1533-position model. The record is from RNAcentral.